CCUGGGGAGUACGGCCGCAAGGUUAAAACUCAAAUGAAUUGACGGGGGCCCGCACAAGCGGUGGAGCAUGUGGUUUAAUUCGAUGCAACGCGAAGAACCUUACCUGGUCUUGACAUCCACAGAACUUUCCAGAGAUGGAUUGGUGCCUUCGGGAACUGUGAGACAGGUGCUGCAUGGCUGUCGUCAGCUCGUGUUGUGAAAUGUUGGGUUAAGUCCCGCAACGAGCGCAACCCUUAUCCUUUGUUGCCAGCGGUUAGGCCGGGAACUCAAAGGAGACUGCCAGUGAUAAACUGGAGGAAGGUGGGGAUGACGUCAAGUCAUCAUGGCCCUUACGACCAGGGCUACACACGUGCUACAAUGGCAUAUACAAAGAGAAGCGACCUCGCGAGAGCAAGCGGACCUCAUAAAGUAUGUCGUAGUCCGGAUUGGAGUCUGCAACUCGACUCCAUGAAGUCGGAAUCGCUAGUAAUCGUAGAUCAGAAUGCUACGGUGAAUACGUUCCCGGGCCUUGUACACACCGCCCGUCACACCAUGGGAGUGGGUUGCAAAAGAAGUAGGUAGCUUAACCUUCGGGAGGGCGCUUACCACUUUGUGAUUCAUGACUGGGGUGAAGUCGUAACAAGGUAACCGUAGGGGAACCUGCGGUUGGAUCACCUCCUUACCUUAAAGAA
This 671-nucleotide ribosomal RNA is filed under the name Klebsiella pneumoniae. Its description in RNAcentral is "bacterial SSU rRNA". It matches the Rfam family "Bacterial small subunit ribosomal RNA", at positions 872 to 1533 of the family's 1533-position model. The record is from RNAcentral. Lineage: Bacteria; Pseudomonadati; Pseudomonadota; Gammaproteobacteria; Enterobacterales; Enterobacteriaceae.